AGUGAACGCUGGCGGUAGGCCUAACACAUGCAAGUCGAACGGCAGCACAGUAAGAGCUUGCUCUUACGGGUGGCGAGUGGCGGACGGGUGAGGAAUACAUCGGAAUCUACUUUUUCGUGGGGGAUAACGUAGGGAAACUUACGCUAAUACCGCAUACGGCCUACGGGUGAAAGCAGGGGAUCUUCGGACCUUGCGCGAUUGAAUGAGCCGAUGUCGGAUUAGCUAGUUGGCGGGGUAAAGGCCCACCAAGGCGACGAUCCGUAGCUGGUCUGAGAGGAUGAUCAGCCAAAGUGGAACUGAGACACGGUCCAGCCUCCUACGGGGGGCAGCGGGGGGGAAUAUUGGAAAAUGGGCGAAAGCCUGAUCCAGCCAUACCGCGGGGGUGAAGAAGGCCUUCGGGCUGUAAAGCCCUUUUGUUGGGAAAAAAAAGCAGCAGGUUAAUACCCCGCUGUUCUGACGGUACCCAAAGAAUAAGCACCGGCUAACUUCGU
Molecule: ribosomal RNA, 491 nt
Filed under: uncultured bacterium
Lineage: Bacteria
Description: partial 16S ribosomal RNA
Rfam family: Bacterial small subunit ribosomal RNA
Source: RNAcentral